UUGCUUGCUUUGGCAGCACAUAUACUAAAACUGGAAUGAUACAGAGAAGAUUAGCACGGUCCCUUGUGCAAGAAUGAUACACAAAUUCGUGAAGCAUUCCUUAUUUUU
Molecule: small nuclear RNA, 108 nt
Organism: Nomascus leucogenys (northern white-cheeked gibbon)
Lineage: Eukaryota; Metazoa; Chordata; Mammalia; Primates; Hylobatidae
Source: Ensembl